Molecule: ribosomal RNA, 1202 nt
Filed under: metagenome
Description: bacterial SSU rRNA
Rfam family: Bacterial small subunit ribosomal RNA
Source: RNAcentral
CGGAACGUACCCUGAAGUGGGGGAUAACGUAGCGAAAGUUACGCUAAUACCGCAUAUUCUGUGCGCAGGAAAGAGGGGGCUCGCAAGACCUCUUGCUUUAGGAGCGGCCGAUGUCGGAUUAGCUAGUUGGUGAGGUAAAGGCUCACCAAGGCGACGAUCCGUAGCGGGUCUGAGAGGAUGAUCCGCCACACUGGACUGAGACACGGCCCAGACUCCUACGGGAGGCAGCAGUGGGGAAUUUUGGACAAUGGGCGCAAGCCUGAUCCAGCCAUGCCGCGUGAGUGAAGAAGGCCUUCGGGUUGUAAAGCUCUUUCGGUGGGGAAGAAAUGGCACGGGCCAAUACCCUGUGUUGAUGACGGUACCCGCACAAGAAGCACCGGCUAACUACGUGCCAGCAGCCGCGGUAAUACGUAGGGUGCGAGCGUUAAUCGGAAUUACUGGGCGUAAAGCGUGCGCAGGCGGUUGUAUAAGUCAGAUGUGAAAUCCCCGGGCUCAACCUGGGAACUGCAUUUGAGACUGUACGGCUAGAGUUUGGCAGAGGGGGGUGGAAUUCCACGUGUAGCAGUGAAAUGCGUAGAGAUGUGGAGGAACACCGAUGGCGAAGGCAGCCCCCUGGGCCAAUACUGACGCUCAUGCACGAAAGCGUGGGGAGCAAACAGGAUUAGAUACCCUGGUAGUCCACGCCCUAAACGAUGUCAACUAGGUGUUGGAAGGGUUAAACCUUUUAGUGCCGUAGCUAACGCGUGAAGUUGACCGCCUGGGGAGUACGGCCGCAAGGCUAAAACUCAAAGGAAUUGACGGGGACCCGCACAAGCGGUGGAUGAUGUGGAUUAAUUCGAUGCAACGCGAAAAACCUUACCUACCCUUGACAUGUCAGGAAUCCCGGAGAGAUUUGGGAGUGCUCGAAAGAGAACCUGAACACAGGUGCUGCAUGGCUGUCGUCAGCUCGUGUCGUGAGAUGUUGGGUUAAGUCCCGCAACGAGCGCAACCCUUGUCAUUAAUUGCCAUCAUUGAGUUGGGCACUUUAAUGAGACUGCCGGUGACAAACCGGAGGAAGGUGGGGAUGACGUCAAGUCCUCAUGGCCCUUAUGGGUAGGGCUUCACACGUCAUACAAUGGUCGGUUCAGAGGGUUGCCAACCCGCGAGGGGGAGCCAAUCUCAGAAAGCCGAUCGUAGUCCGGAUUGGAGUCUGCAACUCGACU